ACUCCUACGGGAGGCAGCAGUGGGGAAUAUUGCACAAUGGGCGCAAGCCUGAUGCAGCCAUGCCGCGUGUGUGAAGAAGGCCUUCGGGUUGUAAAGCACUUUCAGUAGGGAGGAAGGUAGUGUAGUUAACACCUGCAUUAUUUGACGUUACCUACAGAAGAAGCACCGGCUAACUCCGUGCCAGCAGCCGCGGUAAUACGGAGGGUGCGAGCGUUAAUCGGAAUUACUGGGCGUAAAGCGCAUGCAGGCGGUUUGUUAAGUCAGAUGUGAAAGCCCGGGGCUCAACCUCGGAAUUGCAUUUGAAACUGGCAGACUAGAGUACUGUAGAGGGGGGUAGAAUUUCAGGUGUAGCGGUGAAAUGCGUAGAGAUCUGAAGGAAUACCGGUGGCGAAGGCGGCCCCCUGGACAGAUACUGACACUCAGAUGCGAAAGCGUGGGGAAGCAAACAGGAUUAGAUACCCUGGUAGGAUAGCG
This 474-nucleotide ribosomal RNA is filed under the name uncultured bacterium. RNAcentral describes it as "bacterial SSU rRNA". It matches the Rfam family "Bacterial small subunit ribosomal RNA", at positions 335 to 799 of the family's 1533-position model. The record is from RNAcentral.